Molecule: transfer RNA, 77 nt
Filed under: Salmonella enterica
Lineage: Bacteria; Pseudomonadati; Pseudomonadota; Gammaproteobacteria; Enterobacterales; Enterobacteriaceae
Description: tRNA-Val
Rfam family: tRNA
About the family: Transfer RNA (tRNA) molecules are approximately 80 nucleotides in length.
Source: RNAcentral
GCGUUCAUAGCUCAGUUGGUUAGAGCACCACCUUGACAUGGUGGGGGUCGUUGGUUCGAGUCCAACUGAACGCACCA